AUCCAUUUGACGAGUCCCAAGUAGGACAAAACGAGCUUCUUGGAU
Schistosoma rodhaini is the source of this 45-nucleotide non-coding RNA. NCBI's taxonomy places the organism in Eukaryota, Metazoa, Platyhelminthes, Trematoda, Strigeidida, Schistosomatidae. The record is from Rfam.